UGUAUGGUGUAUGGUGUAUGGUGUAUGAGUGUUUCUACGAACUGAUUCAUUAAUAGCAGAAAACACGCAGUUUUUUUUUUUUUUUUCUUCUUUUUUUUGUUACAUAUACAUAUAUGUACUUAUACAUGUAAAUAUUUUUAAUAUAUAACAAUCACAUAUUUGCUUUUAUCAAAAAUUAAACGCAGAUUAAAGAAUUGAAAAAUAAGUUGAGAAUGAAAGAUGAAGUUAUAGAAUAUACCAACAGAGAGAUAGAAAGUAUUAAGGAAUCGUUCUGUAACGAGUACGAAAACAAAAUAAAAAAAUUGAAUGAAGAUAAGGAUAAAGAAAUGCAUAUAAUGAAAAAGAAGUAUAAUGAGCUGCACGAAGAAAUAAUCCUUAACAAAAACGAAGUAUCUAAACUGACUAAAAUGUUAGAAGAUGCAAAUAAAAAAAUAAAAAAAAGAGAUAUGGAGAUGUACAUACUACUCGAGGAAAAUAAAAAACAAAAAGAAAAGGCUGCCAAAAAAAUGACUAAAGUUAAUGAGUUGUUAAGUAAUCUACAAAAGGAAUAUGUUGAUAAUAUUCCAUAA
Molecule: long non-coding RNA, 569 nt
Filed under: Piliocolobus tephrosceles (Ugandan red Colobus)
Lineage: Eukaryota; Metazoa; Chordata; Mammalia; Primates; Cercopithecidae
Description: lncRNA (ENSPTEG00000004029.1)
Source: RNAcentral